GCGCAAAGAGAGGCCCAAGUGAGAUUAGCUAGUUGGUGGGGUAAAGGCUCACCAAGGCAACGAUCUCUAGCUGUUCUGAGAGGAAGAUCAGCCACACUGGGACUGAGACACGGCCCAGACUCCUACGGGAGGCAGCAGUGGGGAAUAUUGGACAAUGGGGGCAACCCUGAUCCAGCCAUGCCGCGUGUGUGAAGAAGGCCUUCGGGUUGUAAAGCACUUUCAGUGGGGAGGAAAGGUUANCGGUUAAUACCCGUUAGCUGUGACGUUACCCACAGAAGAAGCACCGGCUAACUCCGUGCC
Molecule: ribosomal RNA, 300 nt
Filed under: Alteromonas sp. MED15
Lineage: Bacteria; Pseudomonadati; Pseudomonadota; Gammaproteobacteria; Alteromonadales; Alteromonadaceae
Description: bacterial SSU rRNA
Rfam family: Bacterial small subunit ribosomal RNA
Source: RNAcentral